GAUGGCUGCCCCUACUGAGGUAAAGAUUUGGAAAGGUGGUACUUUUCUUUCAGUAGGUUAUUAUUAAUGUAUUAUUUUACAUUUGUUACUUAGCACUAUUGCUAGGAGUGAAUCCUAUGUAAUCCCCCCAAAAAUAAAUAAAUAUAUAUUGGGUCAGCCAUCCAACCUCGUCCUCUGUGCACGGGAAGAGUAAAAUAAAAGGCAGGUGUCUGCACAAUUCACCCAUGCCCUGAGGCCGUGACAUGUAGCAGGGUAUAAAUAAACAUGGGUCAGGGGUUCCAAAUCUCUGGCCCAAAAUAACUUCUUAAACAACUUGCAAAAAGCCCCGUGUCAUAUAUAUCCCUCCCUCUUACAGUAAUCUAAUAGUCUAGUAAUCAGUGGGACUAAUUUAUAUAUAUUGCCUUUUUUUUUUUUUACGUUACAUUAGAUGGGUGGGAGUUUCAUAACCCUUUAAUUAAAAAAUAUAUGUGACAGGGUUAUUUAGUAAUGUGACAAUUCAAAGUGAAUUCCAAAUUUAGGGCCACAAAUAGUCCACAAGUCCAGGAGUCAUCAUCUUCUGCUUAUAGAAUUGUGCUCCAAAU
This is a non-coding RNA of Pelobates cultripes (western spadefoot toad), 581 nucleotides long. NCBI's taxonomy places the organism in Eukaryota, Metazoa, Chordata, Amphibia, Anura, Pelobatidae. The record is from the annotation of a GenBank genome assembly.